RNAcentral lists this ribosomal RNA (497 nucleotides) under uncultured bacterium. Its description in RNAcentral is "partial 16S ribosomal RNA". It matches the Rfam family "Bacterial small subunit ribosomal RNA", at positions 28 to 507 of the family's 1533-position model. The record is from RNAcentral.
GAUGAACGCUGGCGGCGUGCCUAAUACAUGCAAGUCGAGCGAACGGACGAGAAGCUUGCUUUUCUGAUGUUAGCGGCGGACGGGUGAGUAACACGUGGAUAACCUACCUAUAAGACUGGGAUAACUUCGGGAAACCGGAGCUAAUAUCGGAUAAUAUUUUGAACCGCAUGGUUCAAAAGUGAAAGACGGUCUUGCUGUCACUUAUAGAUGGAUCCGCGCUGCAUUAGCUAGUUGGUAAGGUAACGGCUUACCAAGGCAACGAUGCAUAGCCGACCUGAGAGGGUGAUCGGCCACACUGGAACUGAGACACGGUCCAGACUCCUAAGGGAGGCAGCAGUAGGGAAUCUUCCGCAAUGGGCGAAAGCCUGACGGAGCAACGCCGCGUGAGUGAUGAAGGUCUUCGGAUCGUAAAACUCUGUUAUUAGGGAAGAACAUAUGUGUAAGUAACUGUGCACAUCUUGACGGUACCUAAUCAGAAAGCCACGGCUAACUACGUG